GGGCUUGAUAAUUAAAACUUCGGUGGUGUAAGAUGAGUAUGCGUCCCAUUAGAUAGUUGGAGAGGUAACGGCUCACCAAGUCAACGAUGGGUAGGGGGCCUGAGAGGGUUGUCCCCCACACUGGUACUGAGACACGGACCAGACUCCUACGGGAGGCAGCAGUGAGGAAUAUUGGUCAAUGGAGGGAACUCUGAACCAGCCAUACCGCGUGCAGGAAGACUGCCCUAUGGGUUGUAAACUGCUUUUAUACAGGAAGAAACACACCUACGUGUAGGUGCUUGACGGUACUAUAAGAAUAAGGAUCGGCUAACUCCGUGCCAGCAGCCGCGGUAAUACGGAGGAUCCAAGCGUUAUCCGGAAUCAUUGGGUUUAAAGGGUCCGUAGGUGGAUAAUUAAGUCAGAGGUGAAAUCUUGCAGCUCAACUGUAAAAUUGCCUUUGAUACUGGUUAUCUUGAGUUAUUAUGAAGUAGUUAGAAUAUGUAGUGUAGCGGUGAAAUGCAUAGAUAUUACAUAGAAUACCAAUUGCGAAGGCAGAUUACUAAUAAUCAACUGACACUGAUGGACGAAAGCGUGGGUAGCGAACAGGAUUAGAUACCCUGGUAGUCCACGCCGUAAACGAUGGUUACUAGCUGUUUGGACCUUGUGUCUGAGUGGCUAAGCGAAAGUGAUAAGUAACCCACCUGGGGAGUACGUUCGCAAGAAUGAAACUCAAAGGAAUUGACGGGGGCCCGCACAAGCGGUGGAGCAUGUGGUUUAAUUCGAUGAUACGCGAGGAACCUUACCAGGGCUUAAAUGUAA
This 798-nucleotide ribosomal RNA is filed under the name uncultured Flavobacteriia bacterium. RNAcentral's name for it is "bacterial SSU rRNA". It matches the Rfam family "Bacterial small subunit ribosomal RNA", at positions 190 to 990 of the family's 1533-position model. Lineage: Bacteria; Pseudomonadati; Bacteroidota; Flavobacteriia. The record is from RNAcentral.